GCUUCCCCCUUGGCCUUCUUGGAGAGAAAUCAACUGUGGCUGCUGCUAGCUAUUAAUAUCCCUGACUUUGAGCAUCAGGUAAUAAGGAGAAGCCCUAGAGGGUAGAGCAACAACAACAAAACCCAGAAAAGAAACCUAUACUGAGGAUGGUGACUGUUGAAAAGAAAAGUAAGGAAAGUUUAUCUUUCUCUGGAGAUAACUUACCUUCAAAUCAAGAUCCAGGUUGCAGCCAGGAGACAAGUCCCUGGAGACCUGGACCCCACCAGAGAUGAGGGAUUAUGCUGUGACAUCGGUGGUGUGCCUGGAGAGCUGUUGGAGGAGAAUCCCAUGUUCCUGCUGCAUUGCUGGGUGUCAUAAAGAUGGUGCACAGAGCAGUCCCUCUGUGCCCAGCUCCCUGCAGAGCUAGAGAAGAAAAUGAGAGUCCAAGGAAAUGAAGAAACCUGGCAAGUCACCAUACAGUGAGAGGCAGAGGUGGGCUGAGAACAAGAGUGAUAAUCUGCUCUUUGAUCUACUGCAUCCUGCCGCAUUAGAAGUGCCUUUUGUACAUUAGUGCAGAAGAAAUCAGCUUCAAUUUGUUCCCCUAAGAACAGCUGCAAACCUGAAAAUACCCCCAAAGGCCUCUGGAAGUGAGCAGUGGUUCACUCUGGGAAGAUUCUCACUUUGAAAACGACAGAAGAAAAGAGGAAACCGACUGUUCCCUUGGACAACUGCACACCCAGCAAUGCAGACCUCUGAGGGCUGAAGAAGGUGGCCAACAAGCAGUCCAGACCCAGAAGCCUGGAGAAGUGGAUCCCCAAGAAUGAAGAGUAGGGACUCGGGGAACCCCAAAGACAACUAAGAAGAAGUUUGAUCACUCCAAAGAGAAGAGCAGCAGAUAGGGACAAUAUCAGCUGCCUUACCCCAGACACCUCAGGACCUCUGAGGGCCUGUGCAUGGUAUUAACACAAGGGUCCUCCUCCUGUACCUACCCUUUUGACUGUAAGGAGUUGACACCUCUGUGUAUCAGCUCCUCAAUCUUCCCUCAGUCAACCGUGUACCUGCUCCACCAUGGCUAUUGCUCCUCAUUACUUUGCCCACUUGCAUACCACCAGGGGCUUUUCAUCCCAACUUUUAUAUCACAGAUGGUUUACUUACACUGCCAUCUCACAACACUCUACCUCUUUCCAUGUUUGGUUUGAAUUUCUGAGUAUCCUAUUUGUCCAACUUGACUUUUGAAGCCAAACUACGGGCCAAGACUCAUUGACCAGCUUGUAGACUGGCUACUUUUGGGACAGGUGCCCAUUUUGAUUCCACCAAUUAUAAGUGGGUUUGGGAAAGACAUGUGAUUCAAAACAGGGCUACUCUAGAGCUUCCCAUUAGCAGAAAUUGUGGUAAGCAAUAUAUAUAUAAUAUAUGUUUAGUGAGACCCUGAACCAUCUAGGAGUAUCAAUUUGGUUUAAUAUUCUUGGCUUAAUAAAAAGCAGGAAAAUCUGAUAUGAUUUCCAAUGAAAACUUUUACCUCUUAAAAUAAUAACUUUAAAUCAUGUGGAAAGUUCAUGUGAGUACCAUACAACAGAGAGGCAAUUAACUAUUCUUUCUCAGAUGAUACGGAGGAUUUGUAAAUAUUUUUUCAUCUUCCUGGAGUGUUAAAGUGGCUAUUGGGAUGUUAUGUUCAGUCAGUUUUCUGUUGAAUACAGCUAGCUCUCUUUUGCUAUUGGAAAGUAUUCCUACCAAUACUCUCUAAUCCAUUUAUCCCAGAGCUUGCCACAACCACAGGAAACAUGAGCCAUGUCUUUCUUAGGUCUUUUAUGUGUUGGAGUUUAAGCAUCAGGUCUAAGUGCUGACUCUAAAAAUUCUCACGACGUAGCUAAAAAAAAAAAAUACACAUUGGUCCCUGGGCAAAAUGGUAAACAGAUGUCUCUUCACCCCUACAUAAUGAUAUCAUAUUCUUACUAAAAACAUGGCCAUAGUCUAAAAUCCAAUGAGAAUGAAGUUAGUAUAAACCAUUAGCAAUUUCCCUAAUCAGAGUACAUUUCUCCUGCCCCUCUGACAAACCACACCCACUUGUCCUUCCAAGUCCAGCUAAACAAAAUUUCUUGUUUUGAAAUUCCUGAGAUAAUGGCUGGAAGAAGGACAGAAGGGCAAAAUCCUAGGAAGUAGUUUGGGUAACUAGGAAAGGUUCCUGCAGGCAAGAAUAAAGAGAGAUUGCAGGGGAAAAGGCAGUUCAUAUCAGGAAGAAGCCUUAGUUUAGUGGCUAGAAUUACCCCCAGGAGUAGCUACUUUAGCAGGAUCAGUCUUAGAUGCUACAAUGAGGGAAGAAAAGAACAUCUCACUUCCAGGCCAGUGAAAGGUGUUGGGGACAGGGCAGAGAGAUACUGGUCUGGAAUCCAAAAUCAGGGUUGGAACAACAGAAAGAAUAAUGGGAUCUGAGCCAGCAUUCUGGCCAAGGGCAAGGCCAGACAGGUGCAAUGUAUGAAGUUUGAAAUAGGGUAGAAAGAACCAAGGGGCCAGGUAACUUGGAACUUUUCCAAGUUCAGAAAAGAGAAGGACAAAAAAAAUCAAGAUUUUAACUGACCUAUAUUCUCUGCACUCUUGGAAGUUCUUAAUAUGCAAUUAUCAUACAGUUUAGCAUUCACCUGUUCUUACCUUCUCUCCUAAUGUUACGGGUCUGUGAGGUGUCCCCCAAAAUUUCAUGUGUGAGACAAAGGUUUAGAGGAGUAAUUAUUGAAUUAUGAGAGCCCUUGUGACUUAAUCCCCUCAUGGAAUUACUGAGUGGUAACUGAAGGCAGGCAGGGUGUGGCUGGAGGAGGUGGGUUAUUGGGAGGGUGUCUUUGGGGUAUAUACUUUGCAUCUGGCAAAUGAGUCUCUCUCUCUCUCUCUCUCUGUCUCUCUCUCUCUGCUUUCUGAUCAUCAUGUGAGCUGCUUGCCUCUGCCAUACCCUUCCUCCAUGAUGUUCUGCCUCACCUCAAACCCCAAGGAAUGGAGCCUGUUGUCUAUGGAGAGAGACCUCUGAAACCCUGAGCCCCCAAAAUAAACAUUUGCUCAUCUACAA
Long non-coding RNA from Marmota monax (woodchuck), 3031 nucleotides. RefSeq lists it as uncharacterized. The transcript is spliced from 4 exons. The record is from RefSeq and is a predicted model, not a curated record. NCBI's taxonomy places the organism in Eukaryota, Metazoa, Chordata, Mammalia, Rodentia, Sciuridae.